This 329-nucleotide ribosomal RNA is filed under the name uncultured eukaryote. RNAcentral's name for it is "partial 18S ribosomal RNA". It matches the Rfam family "Eukaryotic small subunit ribosomal RNA", at positions 1470 to 1796 of the family's 1831-position model. The record is from RNAcentral.
CCCUUAGAUGUUCUGGGCCGCACGCGCGCUACACUGACAGAGCCAACGAGCUCUUUGCCUUGGCCGGAAGGUCUGGGUAAUCUUGUUAAACUCUGUCGUGCUGGGGAUAGAGCAUUGCAAUUAUUGCUCUUCAACGAGGAAUGCCUAGUAAGCGCGUGUCAUCAGCAUGCGUUGAUUACGUCCCUGCCCUUUGUACACACCGCCCGUCGCUACUACCGAUUGAAUGGCUCAGUGAGGCCUUCGGACUGGCUCGGGGAGGUUGGCAACGACCACCCCAAGCCGGAAAGUUCGUCAAACUCGGUCAUUUAGAGGAAGUAAAAGUCGUAACA